RNAcentral lists this ribosomal RNA (1499 nucleotides) under uncultured bacterium. RNAcentral describes it as "bacterial SSU rRNA". It matches the Rfam family "Bacterial small subunit ribosomal RNA". The record is from RNAcentral.
AGAGUUUGAUUAUGGCUCAGAUUGAACGCUGGCGGCAGGCCUAACACAUGCAAGUCGAACGGUAACAGGAAGCAGCUUGCUGCUUUGCUGACGAGUGGCGGACGGGUGAGUAAUGUCUGGGAAACUGCCUGAUGGAGGGGGAUAACUACUGGAAACGGUAGCUAAUACCGCAUAACGUCGCAAGACCAAAGAGGGGGACCUUAGGGCCUCUUGCCAUCGGAUGUGCCCAGAUGGGAUUAGCUAGUAGGUGGGGUAACGGCUCACCUAGGCGACGAUCCCUAGCUGGUCUGAGAGGAUGACCAGCCACACUGGAACUGAGACACGGUCCAGACUCCUACGGGAGGCAGCAGUGGGGAAUAUUGCACAAUGGGCGCAAGCCUGAUGCAGCCAUGCCGCGUGUAUGAAGAAGGCCUUCGGGUUGUAAAGUACUUUCAGCGGGGAGGAAGGGAGUAAAGUUAAUACCUUUGCUCAUUGACGUUACCCGCAGAAGAAGCACCGGCUAACUCCGUGCCAGCAGCCGCGGUAAUACGGAGGGUGCAAGCGUUAAUCGGAAUUACUGGGCGUAAAGCGCACGCAGGCGGUUUGUUAAGUCAGAUGUGAAAUCCCCGGGCUCAACCUGGGAACUGCAUCUGAUACUGGCAAGCUUGAGUCUCGUAGAGGGGGGUAGAAUUCCAGGUGUAGCGGUGAAAUGCGUAGAGAUCUGGAGGAAUACCGGUGGCGAAGGCGGCCCCCUGGACGAAGACUGACGCUCAGGUGCGAAAGCGUGGGGAGCAAACAGGAUUAGAUACCCUGGUAGUCCACGCCGUAAACGAUGUCGACUUGGAGGUUGUGCCCUUGAGGCGUGGCUUCCGGAGCUAACGCGUUAAGUCGACCGCCUGGGGAGUACGGCCGCAAGGUUAAAACUCAAAUGAAUUGACGGGGGCCCGCACAAGCGGUGGAGCAUGUGGUUUAAUUCGAUGCAACGCGAAGAACCUUACCUGGUCUUGACAUCCACGGAAGUUUUCAGAGAUGAGAAUGUGCCUUCGGGAACCGUGAGACAGGUGCUGCAUGGCUGUCGUCAGCUCGUGUUGUGAAAUGUUGGGUUAAGUCCCGCAACGAGCGCAACCCUUAUCCUUUGUUGCCAGCGGUCCGGCCGGGAACUCAAAGGAGACUGCCAGUGAUAAACUGGAGGAAGGUGGGGAUGACGUCAAGUCAUCAUGGCCCUUACGACCAGGGCUACACACGUGCUACAAUGGCGCAUACAAAGAGAAGCGACCUCGCGAGAGCAAGCGGACCUCAUAAAGUGCGUCGUAGUCCGGAUUGGAGUCUGCAACUCGACUCCAUGAAGUCGGAAUCGCUAGUAAUCGUGGAUCAGAAUGCCACGGUGAAUACGUUCCCGGGCCUUGUACACACCGCCCGUCACACCAUGGGAGUGGGUUGCAAAAGAAGUAGGUAGCUUAACCUUCGGGAGGGCGCUUACCACUUUGUGAUUCAUGACUGGGGUGAAGUCGUAACAAGGU